ACUAGAAUGCACUAGAAAGUAUUGUCUGACCAAGGAAAGUGCAAAUUACAAAGAGCACCUGAAGGCAGCCUGGCCACAGCCUACACAGCUACAGCCUGGCCAUGGACAUGAAUGACUGCUGUAAUACUUGGUGACAGCGCCACCAUCCGGUUGAAGGCCAUGUGGCAUUGUAACAUACAAAGGGUACAAAUGGUAACAGCACCCUGCCUCUCAGUCCGCUCAGCUCCCAUCAGUAUUGUCCUGUCAUUUGUAUUGUCAGCAGGUAAAAGUGAAUGGGUGUUUUGGCCUCAUGAAUGUCACAGUGAGAUAUAUACAUGCAGAAUACACGGUGGAAACGUUUUGGGGCCAUUAUUAUUGGGUGGGUGACUGAGCAAACAAAUAAAUGGACAACCACAACAAAAACACUGAGACAAAGUUUCACAGUGUUAAAGUCUACAGUAAAAAAAGGCCAGAAGCACCUUGCUUGCAGCUCUUUCCAAGCAAUAUCUGACUUUUUUUUUUUUUUUUUUUAAGUUUUUUAAACAUUUCAUUCAUGUUAAGGUAAAAGCGUUGACAUGACGAAAUGUGCAUGCUCUUGCUCAAACAUUUAUUUUUUGUUUUGUUGUCGAGACAUAUCAUUUUUAGACAAUUCAAAACCAACAUGUUUGCCUGGUUGUUAAAUAGCCUUGCCUAAACCAAGCAAACAAAUGCUGUCAUAUAAACGUUACGUUUACGCCACAUCUAUACGUUAAAUCUAAAUAUUUAAUCUGAAUCUUGACGUGAUAACGAUGACAAUUCGUAUAGUGAAAGUGUUUACUCGUUAAAAUGUAGUUUUCACGUUAUAAAAAUAUGUUUUUGAUGAUGUGUAACGACAUAGUUACAGUUUUCUCCUCGUAACGAUAAACGUUAUAACGAUAACCAUUCUGUGCUGCCAUAUAGUUAGCGUUAGCUAGUUACGAGCAAUAACAAAAAACACAAAGUUUUUUGACAGUAUGCUCAACAUUAAUUGAAGAGUUUACAUGUGGCAGCCAAGUUAAACUGCCAAAAGAGUUAGUUGAACGCCAGUGAAACAACGGCUGGCCGUUACCUAACGUUAGCGAACUUAACGUUACAUCCGUUAGACACCAAGUGGCUAAGUAUCAGUGGUUUAUGUCAAACUGCUGUUACUUAUCCUCAAGUGUCCAUAGCUGAUCUCCAUCCUGAACCACCAGAGGAUGUGUGAACGGCGGCCGCCUGUAGUCUCUUCCGUCCCUCCUCGGCUACUGUCGCUCGUGGGAGGAGCUCGCGGGGAGCACGGGGAUCCCACUGACUGUCACGCGGGCAGGUCUCCUACGCUCCUUCGCGGAAACACUGGCGAGGACCAGUCCGUAACCAGAGAUGCAUCAUUUCUGAGUGUUGUUAGGUGGAAGAAAACAGGAAUGCAUCAAUGCCAAGCACCAGGUGAGGAGCAGGAGGAGGUGACUGGGAUGGUAUGUCAGGAGGCUGACCUGAAAGAUGGACAGAUGAAGGAAGUAACUGUCGGGGAUCAGAAGGUGUUGCUUGUCUGCACCCAGGGUCAGUACAGUGCUAUUGGAAGCCUGUGCUCCCAUUACAAUGCUCCUCUUAUCAAAGGAGCACUGGUUGGUGACAGAGUGAGGUGUCCCUUUCACGGUGCUUGCUUUAAUGUCAGAACUGGAGAUAUUGAAGAGUAUCCAGGUCUGGACUGUCUGCCUAGUUAUAAGGUAAAAGUUGAGGAGGGCAAUGUGUAUGUUACCAUCAGCAAAAAUUCUCUGAAGUUGACGAAGCGGGUGAAGGAGAUGUGCAGCAUGAUACCGGACAUCAAACACACUAUUCUGCUGAUAGGAGGAGGCCCUGCCUCCCUGGUUUGUGCUGAAACGCUGCGGCAGAACUGCUACCAAGGUCGAAUCAUCAUUGUCACCAAAGACAAUCUGCCUCCAUUUGACAAGCCCAAACUGAGCAAGGCUAUGAAUCUGGACAGCAGCAGCCUCCUCCUCCGACAAAGUGACUUUUAUCAACAGUAUGGGAUUGAGGUGUGGACACAGAAGGAGGUGUUAUCGGUAAACCCAGCUGAUAAGGCAGUGAAGUUGAGCGAUGGCUCUUUGCAGCAUUACGACCAGCUUCUCAUCUCAACUGGCUGUAGAGCACGGACACUCAACUGUCCUGGUUGGGAGCUGAAGGGAGUAAAGUUGCUGCAGAGUUAUGAAGAUGCCAAAGAGAUUCACGACUCCUGUCUGGGCCAGAAAGCUGUUGUAAUCGGAGCCUCCUUCAUAGGUAUGGAGGUGGCAUCCUACUUAUCAGACAAAGCUGCCAGAGUGGCCAUGGUUGGCACUACCAGAUACCCGUAUGAGCGAUCUCUGGGGCCAGAGAUCGGAAAAAUGAGUAUGCAAAUGUUGGAGGAACAAAAUGUAAAGUUCUACAUGAAUGAUGGAGUCACUGAGAUAAAAGGGGAGAACGGCAAGGUGAAGUGGGUGGUGCUGAAGAGUGGCACCGUCCUGGAAGCUGAUGUGGUGAUUGCCGGAAUUGGUGUAAUCCCCAAUUCAGACUUCUUAGCAGGAAGCCAGUUGGAAGUGGAUUCAAGGAAAGCUGUGAUUGUUGACAAGUUCAUGAGGACCAAUAUACCAGAUAUUUUUAGUGCUGGAGAUGUUACCUCUUUCCCUCUGACCAUUCGUGGAGACCAAAGGGUCAACAUUGGUCACUGGCAAAUGUCACAAGCUCAAGGAAGAGUAGCUGCCCUAAACAUGCUGAAGAAACCAACCAAAAUUGAGUCUGUCCCUUUUUUCUGGACCGUGUUGCUUGGGAAGAGUAUCAGAUACACAGAGAUGAGGUGGUGGUAGCUGCGGCCAGCCUGAUGUUCGACCCAGCUGUGGCUCGUCUUGCAGAGCUGAUGGCUACUGGCCAGAUCUUAACAAAGGCACAGGCUCAAGCUGAUGACCCGAGCUGGCUGCAGAUGUAACCAGAGGCCUGCUGUAUCCCGGAGUAACACUGCUCAGUGACGAAGGAUGUCGCCCUUUCCCUUUCUUGUUCCUCUUUCCAUCAAAUAGUGCCAAAUUGGAUUGCUCCAUUUACUGCCUCUGGGCUUCUGUAAGCCAAUCAGACCCCUGCUCUUACUCAGAGCACUGUUACCAUAGCAGCAAGGAAAGCUUUAUUGAAUUUGUACUUUGUACACUCAAUGAAUGAUCUGAUGUCUGUGUAACGAGCGGAGCCUGGAUAAGUUGACUUUUAUUUAUUCCAAGUUUUGACUACAGCUGUACUAAAAGUGGGUUGUCUGUGGUUAAUAUUAGCAUAGUACAAUAAUAAUUAAGUAUUAGUAUUUUUCAUACUAUUGUAUCCACUUGAAACAUUCUGAAAACAAACUCCACUCCACGCUUACAAUACAUUUAUGAGUAACUUAUUUAAAAUCUAAAAUACAAAGGUCAGUUAACAUACUGCACUCAACAAAUACUGUGAUGGACGUGUUGUUAAUUAACAGGUUUGUUGUUUUUUUUCUUUUAUUGUCUUAACCUCUGUUCCAUGUUCACUGCAAUGCUUGUUGAAUCAGUCAUAUGUUUACAGCAGAGAUGUAGCUUAUUGUUCAGUCUUUAUCAUAUAACUGAUGUAAAACUCACAUUCAUGUUUUUAGUGUCUGAUUUUUAAAUUCAAAUCCAGAUGAAGAGAAAACAGGUACGAAAGCACUUUGUGGAAUCUUAUCUUUCACUUACUUGAAAAUGAAGUCUGGUGCUUUGUGGUAUAUAACUAAUGCUCAGGUAUUAAACAAAUCUGUUAAGCAGUUUCAACACAUUGAUCAUCCAUAAUAUAUCAUAUUUACUGUUGUCAGCAUAUGGAUGCAGUAUGGUGAUGUGUUUUCUGUCAGUUGACUACAAUAAAUCAUUGCUCAUCUUAAGAUCAUCUUUGCUGCUUUAUGUCUUUUAGGUUUUGACAGUUGCUUUUAAAAUCGUAAGAUAACAAAACUACAUAGUCUUUAUCAUUUUUUAUUAAAGUCAUUAUUUCUUUGGAUUUUUACUUCCACUUUUAUUGUUCGUUGCUGUUUUGAAUUUGGUCUAUUUGUCCCCUUUUCUGUCAAACUGGACUUUUUGUGCUGUUGUAAGAGUUUAAUACUUUAAAAACCACCCACUGCUGGCAGGCAGGGGAGUCCACUCUCAGUAGUCUUUACUUAUGUUACUGGCUGCAAAUACUUAAUAAAUUACAUGCACAUA
This is an RNA transcript of Siniperca chuatsi (mandarin fish), 4172 nucleotides long. It is a transcript of the gene named apoptosis inducing factor mitochondria associated 4, with no coding region annotated. Lineage: Eukaryota; Metazoa; Chordata; Actinopteri; Centrarchiformes; Sinipercidae. The transcript has 18 exons. The record is from RefSeq and is a predicted model, not a curated record.